CUGAUGUUCUUAUGAAGGCCUCGGCCUCUCUGCACUGUUUUUGACCCUCCAGAGGAACUGGUUGACCACUGUGUGAGACAGGAAGGUGGACUAGAUGGACCCUCCCUGGGCUCUUCUGAUGUCCUUAUGAAGGCCUCAGUCUCUCUGCCCUGUUGUUGGCCCUUGAGAGGAAAUGGUUGGCCUCUGUGUGAGACAGGAAGGUGGACUAGAUGGACCCUCCCUGGGAUCUUCUGAUGUUCUUAUGACGGCCUCGGCCUCUCUGCACUGUUUUUGACCCUCCAGAGGAACUGGUUGACCACUGUGUGAGACAGGAAGGUGGACUAGAUGGACCCUCCCUGGUC
Long non-coding RNA from Heteronotia binoei (common prickly gecko), 341 nucleotides. RefSeq lists it as uncharacterized. The record is from RefSeq and is a predicted model, not a curated record. Lineage: Eukaryota; Metazoa; Chordata; Lepidosauria; Squamata; Gekkonidae. The transcript is spliced from 3 exons.